GGCUGCAGAUUUGGGGGUCCCCCCUCACCCCUAUUCUUUCCUCCCCCCCUCCCCAGAUGAUCAAAACACGCAGCUCCCGGGUCUCGGCGUUGGCAGAGUUUGUGCGGUCGGUGCACCCCUACGAAGUGGCCGAGGUGAUCUCCGUCCCCAUCCAGCAGGGGAACCCCCCCUACCUGCGAUGGGUGGAAGAGGCCGUGGACCCCGAGUGAGGAGGGGCCCUUGACCCGCCUGGGCCCACAAUAAAGGCCUCCCCCCUCCCCGGGGUGGGGCAGUGCCAGGC
Pseudonaja textilis is the source of this 280-nucleotide non-coding RNA. Lineage: Eukaryota; Metazoa; Chordata; Lepidosauria; Squamata; Elapidae. The record is from RefSeq and is a predicted model, not a curated record.